Molecule: unclassified non-coding RNA, 348 nt
Filed under: uncultured fungus
Lineage: Eukaryota; Fungi
Description: sequence contains ITS1
Rfam family: 5.8S ribosomal RNA (bases 1-106)
Source: RNAcentral
UGAAAUGCGAUAAGUAGUGCGAAACGCAUAAUCUCGUGAGUCAUCGAAUCUUUGAACGCAUGUUGCACCGUCCGGCUAUCCGGAAGGUAUACCUGUUUGAGUGUCAUAAAGUUUCCCUCUCGGUGCGCGCUGUGCAUCGGGGACUUGAAGGCGUCAACGGCUUUGGCGGUUGUCCUUUGAAAUGGAGACUUGACGCGUUGCUCGGUCUGCAAACCGACGGCAAGGUGAGGUAAAUGUUCCACGCCAGGUCAUCAACCCGCGAGCCAGCAGCAGGUCAAGACACUACAGCACAACUCGUGCUUCUUGUUCAAUGACCUCAAAUCAGGUAGGACUACCCGCUGAACUUAA